UACGGAGGGGGCUAGCGUUGUUCGGAAUUACUGGGCGUAAAGCGCACGUAGGCGGACCGUUAAGUCGGGGGUGAAAUCCUGGGGCUCAACCUCAGAAUUGCCUCCGAUACUGGCAGUCUCGAGUGCGGGAGAGGUGAGUGGAAUUCCCAGUGUAGAGGUGAAAUUCGUAGAUAUUGGGAAGAACACCAGUGGCGAAGGCGGCUCACUGGCCCGUAACUGACGCUGAGGUGCGAAAGCGUGGGGAGCAAACAGG
This 253-nucleotide ribosomal RNA is filed under the name uncultured bacterium. RNAcentral's name for it is "partial 16S ribosomal RNA". It matches the Rfam family "Bacterial small subunit ribosomal RNA", at positions 524 to 776 of the family's 1533-position model. The record is from RNAcentral.